CCAGACUCCUACGGGAGGCAGCAGUGGGGAAUAUUGCACAAUGGGGGGAACCCUGAUGCAGCGACGCCGCGUGGGUGAAGGAGCACCUCGGUGCGUAAAGCCCUAUCGGCAGGGAAGAAACAGACGGUACCUGACUAAGAAGCCCCGGCUAACUACGUGCCAGCGGCCGCGGUAAUACGUAGGGGGCAAGCGUUAUCCGGAUUCACUGGGUGUAAAGGGGGCGCAGACGGCGAUGCAAGCCAGGAGUGAAAGCCCGGGGCCCAACCCCGGGACUGCUCUGGAAACUGCGUCGCUGGAGUACGGGAGGGGCAGGCGGAAUUCCUGGUGUAGCGGUGAAAUGCGUAGAUAUCAGGAGGAACACCGGCGGCGAAGGCGGCCUGCUGGACCGCGACUGACGGUGAGGCUCGAGAGCGUGGGGAGCAAACAGGAUUAGAUACCCUGGUAACG
This 447-nucleotide ribosomal RNA is filed under the name uncultured bacterium. Its description in RNAcentral is "bacterial SSU rRNA". It matches the Rfam family "Bacterial small subunit ribosomal RNA", at positions 331 to 793 of the family's 1533-position model. The record is from RNAcentral.